This 1591-nucleotide long non-coding RNA is filed under the name Triticum aestivum (bread wheat). Its description in RNAcentral is "long non-coding RNA (TAES_LNC010114)". Lineage: Eukaryota; Viridiplantae; Streptophyta; Magnoliopsida; Poales; Poaceae. The record is from RNAcentral.
UAAAUCAUCAAAGGCAAAGUUAUAACACUGUCUGUAACACACCGGGAUUGCUCAACAGAUGUGGUGCAUCAAAUCGUGUGCCCUUGCAGGGUACCUUGGCGUAUACAACGGGGCGUAAAAUUUUAGUACCAUGAGCUCAAUUGUGUCAAAUACAAUUUGUGUACUUCAGUACAGAGUAAAUGUCAAUUCCCAUGAAUCACGAUUGGUCGGUCGAGAAACUGGAUUGCAUGACAAUUCAAUUCAGUUAAACCUUCUCACUUAAAAUGAGUGUGUUGCUAGAAAAAUGCGAGGAAGCCCUCGAACUGAAAGGGCAAAGAAUGCAUUCAAGCUUACCUUCUCAUUAGAGCAUCCGAUUAAUUUCUGAAGUAAGUGUUCCUUAUUAGUACUUAGUAGUCAUAGGCCUGAAAAAACUUCUUCAUUAGUCACCAUGAAUCUGCAGCUUAAUUAAUUGCAUAUGAUCUAAAUAUGAGAUUAGUUCAAUAUGAAUUGAAUAUUCAGCGAAGAAAGAAAGCAUGUUCGAAAAUUUAACAACAGGGCAAUUUUCUAGCAUGUCAGUUUAUAUGUGACAAGAAACAAAUGAGAUUGAUCCUUGAAUGAAAAACUACAAGAUUAAUUUUUUGGAGUGUUCUAUUGGGCAAUCCAUCAUAUACAUUUCACUUUAUUAGAGCACCUGCCUUGAUUGGAUUCCUGAAUCGGCACAAGAACAGAUGCAGCAUGCAUUCGCCAAUCAUUCAUACCAUAAUAUAUUGUACUGCCACCUAAGUAAAGCUUUGCUGAUGCGUGUCGUACUGAACGAGAUGAACAACCAAAAGGAAAUUGAGAUGAGAUUCCCCAUGAUCACAUGACUGACAACAAAAUUGAAGAUGUGUACCUGAAGAACCAAAUGUUUUGCCUCGGUGCUCCGUGAUUUGUUCGUUUAGUUAAGCUGCUCAGGUGUGAGGCAACAUCAUCGUCCAGGUGCCUAUCAUGUCCAGCCACAAGUCACAAGCGAGCAUUCUCCGGGCGCCGUGCUAAUAUCCAGUCGUGAGUCGGCAAUGUCUACACGCCAUGAAUGAUCCAGGGGCGUUGGGAUUUUGUCCUACAACAACGAUGUUCAGUAGGGCGGCCCCAGCGCCCAUCGGAUGGGAGCAUCCUGUCGCGUGGAGUCAGCAUCACCAAACCUUCCUUUAUGUUAAAUCUUAAUAAUCAUAGUACUGUUUCCUACUUUGAACUUAAAUCUAUAUAAAAUAAUCCAUCAGUGGCAUGAUUACACAGAAAAUAAAUUGCUGAUUACACACAAACGUAUGGAGUUCAUAGAAUCGAUCACCAGACGACAAGUCACCUAUACUAAUGCAUGCAUACAAUGUGAUCAUACAAGGCCCUUUAUACCAUUGAUUGAAGCAGCCACUGAUGGCAUCCAUGAGUAGGGAUCUGAGUGCUCACGUACCUGAUCAGAAAGAGGAUAGUACGUAGUACUGCUGCAUCCGAGUUGAAGCAACAGUACAGCUCGACAGGCACGAUGCUGUGUGCGUCAGGUAUGGAUGCUGCUUGCCGUUCAGCCUGAUGGAAUCAUUCCUCUUGCUCUUCGACCUGAUGGGAUCGUUCAUAUCAC